Molecule: long non-coding RNA, 3567 nt
Organism: Struthio camelus australis
Lineage: Eukaryota; Metazoa; Chordata; Aves; Struthioniformes; Struthionidae
Source: RefSeq, a predicted model, not a curated record
AGUGUUAACGAGCUAUGAUGAAAAACACAAAACAUCAGCAACUUCCCAUUAGUUCUGGUUUCCAGAAGUGGAAAACCUGGCCCCCUCUACAAACAGUAACAAAGAACGUUUUAUUAUGCUCUGCUUUCGGGUAUGAAGAGCCACAGAACGAUUGCAUAAGGGACUGCACAUUUAUACCAUUGACUGCAUACGUGACCUACAAAUAGGAAGAAAGGAAUCUGCCCAACACAUCCAAGUUGUACAAGCACACGCAACCCUCACCAUAGUGAUUCUAGUUAUAAAUCCACCAACUUCAUAUGGGAGACCAGGAGGCAACAGCUUUGGUACCUGAAUAACACGUUCAUACUUUGCAACUGAAAGAUGCAGACAAAUUAGAUCGAAUUCAGAGACCUGGAGCAUGUGACUUAUGAAGAGGCUGGGAGUGCUGAACAACUGCAGCAGGGAUGCGUAAAGUAGGUGACUAAUGAUCCACUAUGGCCGAAACAGCGAGGUGUGGAAAUGAAGUUAACUGUUUCUUAAGAGCAGCUUGAGCAAAGCCACAUUUAGAACAAUGCCUCGUCAGAGUUGGAGAUCCCGCUAAAGCUGAGGUCAAGCUGCUGUAAUGGAGAGAAACAGCAGUUCAGUCACAGCUCAAGAACACGAAAGUGACUGGAAAAGCUUAGCAGGGUAAGUAAGGGUCUUCAGAAGAAAAGUGAAGUGCAAGAACACAAGAACUCUCUCUCUGAAGCUUAAAGGUGCAGACUGCAAUGGAAGAGUAUCAAACUCUGAAAGAGGUAAAUCCAAGUUACUGUUCCACAUCCAAGUUCUCUACUUUAAUUCCUGUUUGACAUCUUCAGGUUACCCAAGAGGCAGUCUCAAAAUCUUUUGGAGGAACAACUGCCUUUGAUGUACUGAGAAAGCACUUAUUUUUUUCCAUAUUUAAUGCUGUCUGGUUCAGUUCCCUCGGAGUACAGUUUUAUGAAGAUAGAAAAGGUUAACUGUUGUAAGAUUAGCCUUUGCAGACUGUUUCAUUUCUAAUUAGCAUCAAAUAUGGGAAGUUGGUUGAAAAGAAGGGGAAGUUUCAGACUAGGGACAUCAUCUCUUCCCCUUGAUUUGAGACGGAGUGAGAGAGAUGAGCGUCCUGCCUAACAUCUUGAAGGCUCUGUGAAACUGGUGAAUGAGUGCUAAAUAUGCCUUUGCGUGGUUGAGCUCAUGCCAAGCCUCUGUACUGUGAAUGCAACCAAGUUCCCUUGGGCAGGCCAACAGCUGUAUGGCCUGAAUCCCGGUUUCCACUUCUCCACAGUUCCACAGAACACUGGCUGAAAGACAGCUGGAGCUUAAAACUCUUACAGAUAUUCAAAAUAUGGUACCUGCCCAGUAUCUUGUGCAGCUCCAUUUAAUGGAAAAAUAGCAUUCAGUAGAAGAAAUGUCAUGACUCCAAUCAACUAAAUAAGGUAACAGCACUAUGAUUUUUAAGGCCUACCAUUGACGUUGUUUUGUCUCUGCUCUGAAAUUUCUCAUUUCUAAUAUAUAAAUCUUUAAUUAGCUUACAUUCCAGGUUACAUAACAGCUGCCCCUUAAAAGACUGUAACCAGAGACUACGGUGACAAAAACUAUUGAUUGUACAUCUUAAAACAAUACUAUCAUCACUUCAGUUAGCUAGUUUUGCAGUAAGCUCUAUAUGAAGAUGAAACAUGAUGCAACUUAUGGUCCAUAUUGGGAGGGUGAGUGCUUAGACUGACCCUCUUCAAAAAGUCCUGUUAAGAGAGCCCUAACACAUGUCUUGAGAUCACCAUUAACUACACUUGCACAAUGAAUUAUAUGAUAAGCUCCAAAUUAGCUAUCACUACUCAGGAAAAAUAGCAUAGUCAUCACUACUGCAAAUCUCAGUGCCUCCAUUAGUAGGAAAUGCAGCAAUAGGAGUUUUUCAGAAAUGAAUAGUGAGCAUCACUAUUGUCAGUCCAGAAAUGCAUGGUCAACUACCUUUAAAACCUUGCAUGUAAUUUGAAUCAUCUUCCCUCAAGAACGGGGUGGCUGAACUAAUAAGAGGCAUGAGAAGGUCAGCAAGAAUGAUCAGAGGUACUGAAAAAGUACUACGCAAAGCAAUUCUCUACAGUCCAAGACUGUUCACCACCUUGGAGGACAGAUGCUUAGAGGAAGAGGAAUGGCACAUGAGAGGACUAUGAAGCUAAGGAAAUGGUUGAAGGGGUAAACACAAAGGACACCUACUUUCAGAAAAAAAGAUUCUGGAGCUCAGGUAAAUUAAUGAGCAGCAAAAUUUAAGCUAACAAAGGUACAUACUUUUCACACAAACAAUUAAGUCACGUCACUCUGUCAAAGAACGUAAUAGAGGCUGUAAGUAUAAUUAAUUCUGGCAUCAAGAUUAUACAGUUUCAGUAAGCUUCACAGUCUAAGGAAAUAGAUAUAUCUACAGAGAUAUACACACACGCAUAUGUAGGAAAGGAUAUUAGGUGUUUUCAGAUACACAAUACAUGACAAUUCUAUUUCAGAAGUUCUGAAAUUGCUGUAUAUUAGCAGCUCCCAUUUUAGAUUAGUUGAACAGACUGAGGUGACAAUUACACCAUUUAAUUAACUGAAAAUCUUAUUUUGAUGGAGAACAAGCAAGAAUUGGUGAGUGGAUUCUCAAUCUAGAUAAAUGUAAAUUUAUGCCUAACACUGAAAGUGUUAAUGACUUACUUGGAAUGACUUACCAAAUGAAACGGUACAGUCUAUCUCCUGGUGUAUUCAAUCCAGAUAAGAGCUAUGCUGGUUCAAAUAAAAGUUACUGGAACUGAUUUUACCAGUUUUCAUGCCCUCAUCUGGUCCAAAAUCUGGAUGGCUACAUAUUUCUUAGUUUUAACCCACAAUUUUUGGGCUAAUCAUUCCUUUGGUUUUGGCUGAAUAUCGCUUCAGGUUGAUUGCGCUGCAUGAUUACUAACAGAGAAAAUACAAGAGACAGAAACAGCGUUUGGUAGACCCAAUCCAAACAGAAAGCUUCAGCAUGAGAUGCAGAACUCUUGUGUAAAUCACUACCUUUGGCAUGACUCAAGCUACUGCAUUACAUGUAGCUAAGUCUUUGUCCUUAUGUCCAAUUAUGUCGUUAGGCUCUUUGUCCAAUUCUAGUAAUUGCUGAUACACAACAAAACCAAGAAAAUCUCAGCUAUAAUUAACCACUCAGGAUGGUUUGUAUGCACAGAGUCCAGCCAGAACGCACAAGAGACUCUGCAGAACAUGAAUAUGCUGAAGUUAAAUGGUUCAUGGGCUGGGGUAAUCCUUUUUACAGAAUUACAGAAUGGUUGAGGUUGGAAGGGACCUCUGGAGAUCCUCUAGUCCAACCCCCCAUCUCACCUAAAGCAAUCUUUGCCACCUCAUCCAUAGCUCCAGUAGAGAGGGCAGCACUGACCCCAACCUGUUAGAAAGACAGUGAAAAGAGGGGGAGCACAUCAUACGAGAUGUGGUUCAUGACAGGAUGGAUCCUCUACUCAGAGGAUCUCUGAGAAUCAAGAAUGCGUAGGUGACUUGGUAUGGCCCCAGCAUAUGUUUGGGAUUCCAGGCUUAAAAAAAUCCCAAGCCUUCUGGUGAGACACU